Molecule: ribosomal RNA, 300 nt
Filed under: uncultured Methanococcus sp.
Lineage: Archaea; Methanobacteriati; Methanobacteriota; Methanococci; Methanococcales; Methanococcaceae
Description: partial 16S ribosomal RNA
Rfam family: Bacterial small subunit ribosomal RNA (bases 52-300)
Source: RNAcentral
GUAAGCGGGGGGCAAGAAGGGGGGGAAGGACGGUGGGGGUGAGCGUGAUCCGGAUUGUUUGGGGGUAAAGGGUCAGUAGGCGGACUUAGAAGUCAGUGGUGUAAGCCUGUCGCGUAACGAUAGAACUGCCAUUGAUACUGUGAGGCGUGAGUAUAUGUGAGGAAGCUGGAAUAAGUAGUGUAGCGGUGAAAGGCAUAGAGAUUACGUAGAACACCAAUGGCGAAGGCAGGUUACCAAGAUAUAACUGACGCUGAGGGACGAAAGCGUGGGUAGCGAACAGGAUUAGAUACCCUGGUAGUC